This 386-nucleotide transfer-messenger RNA is filed under the name Candidatus Moraniibacteriota bacterium. RNAcentral's name for it is "Candidatus Moranbacteria bacterium (sediment metagenome) transfer-messenger RNA". It matches the Rfam family "transfer-messenger RNA". From Rfam's summary of the family: Bacterial tmRNA, also known as 10Sa RNA or SsrA, is named for its dual tRNA and mRNA-like properties. Its role is to liberate the mRNA from a stalled ribosome. The record is from RNAcentral. RNAcentral also lists the same sequence under 1 other name. Lineage: Bacteria; Candidatus Moraniibacteriota.
GGGGGUGUCGGGCUUCGACAAGUUGUAAUUUAAAAAAUUAGCAAGUCAAGAUCUCGCUCUCUUGUAAAACAGCGAACAAAGAAUAAAUGCUAACUUAUUCAAUCGGGCAAAAAGUGCGUUAGCUUCGGCUUUCACACCUUCAUUUGCUGCCGCUAUCGCCUAAUAAGGCUAUAGCCCGCUGUCUGUUUGAUUUCUGAUAAAACAGUUCCAGCGUCAUCAUCAGAAUGCAAUUUUUGUUCUCCUAGACAAAAACUAAGCUAGCAUUAGGAAAAAAUUCAAUCGUUUUUGGUUAACUUUAAGCGAUUGUCUUAUUUAAGUUAACUAAGCUUGUAGAAAAUUUUUUAUUUUCAAUUUGGACAUGGGUUCAACUCCCAUCACCUCCACCA